This 482-nucleotide ribosomal RNA is filed under the name uncultured bacterium. Its description in RNAcentral is "SSU rRNA". It matches the Rfam family "Bacterial small subunit ribosomal RNA", at positions 26 to 523 of the family's 1533-position model. The record is from RNAcentral.
AGGACGAACGCUGGCGGCGUGCUUAACACAUGCAAGUCGAGCGACGCUCCUCCUUCGGGAGGAUGACGGAGCGGCGAACGGGUGAGUAACACGUGGGCAACCUGCCCCUAGCUCUGGGAUAACCCCGGGAAAUCGGGACUAAUACCGGAUAUGAAGUCGGACGGCAUCGUCUGACUUGGAAAGUUUUUCGGCUAGGGAUGGGCCCGCGGCCUAUCAGCUUGUUGGUGGGGUAAUGGCCUACCAAGGCGACGACGGGUAGCCGGCCUGAGAGGGCGACCGGCCACACUGGGACUGAGACACGGCCCAGACUCCUACGGGAGGCAGCAGUGGGGAAUAUUGCACAAUGGGCGAAAGCCUGAUGCAGCGACGCCGCGUGAGGGAUGACUGCCUUCGGGUUGUAAACCUCUUUCAGCAGGGACGAAGCGAAAGUGACGGUACCUGCAGAAGAGCACCGGCCAACUACGCGCCAGCAGCCGCGGUAA